UGCAAGUCGAACGCUUCUUUCCUCCCGAGUGCUUGCACUCAAUUGGAAAGAGGAGUGGCGGACGGGUGAGUAACACGUGGGUAACCUACCCAUCAGAGGGGGAUAACACUUGGAAACAGGUGCUAAUACCGCAUAACAGUUUAUGCCGCAUGGCAUAAGAGUGAAAGGCGCUUUCGGGUGUCGCUGAUGGAUGGACCCGCGGUGCAUUAGCUAGUUGGUGAGGUAACGGCUCACCAAGGCCACGAUGCAUAGCCGACCUGAGAGGGUGAUCGGCCACACUGGGACUGAGACACGGCCCAGACUCCUACGGGAGGCAGCAGUAGGGAAUCUUCGGCAAUGGACGAAAGUCUGACCGAGCAACGCCGCGUGAGUGAAGAAGGUUUUCGGAUCGUAAAACUCUGUUGUUAGAGAAGAACAAGGACGUUAGUAACUGAACGUCCCCUGACGGUAUCUAACCAGAAAGCCACGGCUAACUACGUGCCAGCAGCCGCGGUAAUACGUAGGUGGCAAGCGUUGUCCGGAUUUAUUGGGCGUAAAGCGAGCGCAGGCGGUUUCUUAAGUCUGAUGUGAAAGCCCCCGGCUCAACCGGGGAGGGUCAUUGGAAACUGGGAGACUUGAGUGCAGAAGAGGAGAGUGGAAUUCCAUGUGUAGCGGUGAAAUGCGUAGAUAUAUGGAGGAACACCAGUGGCGAAGGCGGCUCUCUGGUCUGUAACUGACGCUGAGGCUCGAAAGCGUGGGGAGCAAACAGGAUUAGAUACCCUGGUAGUCCACGCCGUAAACGAUGAGUGCUAAGUGUUGGAGGGUUUCCGCCCUUCAGUGCUGCAGCAAACGCAUUAAGCACUCCGCCUGGGGAGUACGACCGCAAGGUUGAAACUCAAAGGAAUUGACGGGGGCCCGCACAAGCGGUGGGAGCAUGUGGUUUAAUUCGAAGCAACGCGAAGAACCUUACCAGGUCUUGACAUCCUUUGACACUCUAGAGA
Molecule: ribosomal RNA, 980 nt
Filed under: bacterium IARFR471
Lineage: Bacteria
Description: bacterial SSU rRNA
Rfam family: Bacterial small subunit ribosomal RNA
Source: RNAcentral